GCCGGCGACGAUACCACGUUGAAAGCACCGGUUCUCGUCCGAUUACCACAGUUAAGCAACGUUGGGCCCGGUCAGUACUUGCAUGGGGGGCCCUCGCUUUGCCAGUC
Non-coding RNA from Schistosoma haematobium, 107 nucleotides. The record is from Rfam. NCBI's taxonomy places the organism in Eukaryota, Metazoa, Platyhelminthes, Trematoda, Strigeidida, Schistosomatidae.